This 424-nucleotide ribosomal RNA is filed under the name uncultured prokaryote. RNAcentral describes it as "bacterial SSU rRNA". It matches the Rfam family "Bacterial small subunit ribosomal RNA", at positions 355 to 796 of the family's 1533-position model. The record is from RNAcentral.
UGGGGAAUAUUGGACAAUGGGCGCAAGCCUGAUCCAGCCAUGCCGCGUGAGUGAAGAAGGCCUUAGGGUUGUAAAGCUCUUUCAGUCGUGACGAUGAUGACGGUAGCGACAGAAGAAGCCCCGGCUAACUCCGUGCCAGCAGCCGCGGUAAUACGGAGGGGGCAAGCGUUAAUCGGAAUUACUGGGCGUAAAGCGCGCGUAGGCGGUAAGUUAAGCAAGCUGUGAAAGCCCCGGGCUCAACCUGGGAACUGCAGUUUGAACUGGCUUGCUGGAGUACAGCAGAGGAUAGUGGAAUUUCUAGUGUAGCGGUGAAAUGCGUAGAUAUUAGAAGGAACACCAGUGGCGAAGGCGACUGUCUGGGCUGAUACUGACGCUGAGGUGCGAAAGCGUGGGGAGCAAACAGGAUUAGAUACCCCCGUAGUCC